CAAAUGUUGACGUGAGAUCCUGCUAGUGCUCACUGCUUCCUUUUUCCUUUUGUGAUAUUUUUUCACUAAUCAGUAGCAGACAUUCACAGAAUGAGACAAAGUUAGUCAAAGAUCAAAUAUUCUGGAAUGGAAAGUAUAGAUCUCAAUCAAAAAGAAAAACAUAGGGUAGCAUAGGUGAUCAGAGAAAAAUAUAAGCGAGUAGCAAAUAAUUGGCUAAUGUCAAUAAAAUGAAAAGUGCCAUUUUAGUAAGGCAGAAAAAAUAGUAAUAUUUGAGUUACUUAAGGAUUAAAAAAAAACCCACUGACUUGUAUUUUUUUCAAAAGAAGUUGGUCUGAAUAUGAUUGUUCACAUUAAAAGUGUUUAUUCAUCUAUUCAGUUUGGGGAUUUUCCCCCUUGAUGUUUUGACAGACUGAUGUGGGCUUCAGUGAGCAAAAGGAUCAAAAUGCCAGGAGUGCUAAGCUGUGAUGAAGAUAAGUGUGGUAAGAGCAAGCAGUAAGCCAUAGUAGUUUUCCACAGACAAGACCCAUGUAAGGUCUCUGCAGGGGGUUCAAGUGAGCUACUGAUCUUUACUUCCAGAUCUGAAAGUAAAUUUUACCAUUCUUUUCUCAUUUUUUUUUACUUACUUGUUCAUCAUUACACCAGCAUCAUAACUGUAUUACUCUACUGUAGUCCCAGGUAAGUCAAGCCUCCAUGAUACCCAGAGAAAGAAUAAAAACAGAAAUUAGUGCUGGGCUUAAAUAUCUAUUUUUGUUUC
This 754-nucleotide long non-coding RNA is filed under the name Bos taurus (domestic cattle). RNAcentral describes it as "long non-coding RNA NONBTAT025420". Lineage: Eukaryota; Metazoa; Chordata; Mammalia; Artiodactyla; Bovidae. The record is from RNAcentral.